This 75-nucleotide transfer RNA is filed under the name bacterium. RNAcentral's name for it is "tRNA-Phe". It matches the Rfam family "tRNA". From Rfam's summary of the family: Transfer RNA (tRNA) molecules are approximately 80 nucleotides in length. Their secondary structure includes four short double-helical elements and three loops (D, anti-codon, and T loops). Further hydrogen bonds mediate the characteristic L-shaped molecular structure. tRNAs have two regions of fundamental functional importance: the anti-codon, which is responsible for specific mRNA codon recognition, and the 3' end, to which the tRNAs corresponding amino acid is attached (by aminoacyl-tRNA synthetases). tRNAs cope with the degeneracy of the genetic code in two manners: having more than one tRNA (with a specific anti-codon) for a particular amino acid; and 'wobble' base-pairing, i.e. permitting non-standard base-pairing at the 3rd anti-codon position. The record is from RNAcentral.
GCCGAGGUAGCUCAGUGGUAGAGCAGAGGACUGAAAAUCCUUGUGUCGGCAGUUCAAUUCUGCCCUUCGGCACCA